GUACUUGCUUCAGCAGCACAUAUGGUAAAAUUGGAAUGAUACAGAGAUUAGCCUAGCCCUUGCACAAGGAUGACACAAAAAUUCAUGAAGCAUUCCAUAUUUUU
Molecule: small nuclear RNA, 104 nt
Organism: Mustela lutreola (European mink)
Lineage: Eukaryota; Metazoa; Chordata; Mammalia; Carnivora; Mustelidae
Source: RefSeq, a predicted model, not a curated record